UCGAGAAUAUUCCACAAUGGGCGAAAGCCUGAUGGAGCGACACCGCGUGGAGGAUGAAGGCCUUCGGGUUGUAAACUCCUUUUCUAUCAGAUGAACCUUCGGGUGACCGUAUGAUAGGAAUAAGAAGUUGCUAACUCUGUGCCAGCAGCAGCGGUAAUACAGAGACUUCAAGCGUUAUCCGGAUUUAUUGGGCGUAAAGGGCUCGUAGGAGGUUUUGCGCGUCUUGUGUUAAAUCUCACCGCUCAACGGUGAGGCCGCACGAGAUACGGCAUUACUAGAGGAUGUCAGAGGUAAGCGGAACGCACGGUGUAGGGGUGAAAUCCGUUGAUAUCGUGCGGAACACCAGAGGCGAAGGCGGCUUACUGGGGCAUUCCUGACUCUGAGGAGCGAAAGCGUGGGG
This 400-nucleotide ribosomal RNA is filed under the name uncultured bacterium. RNAcentral's name for it is "bacterial SSU rRNA". It matches the Rfam family "Bacterial small subunit ribosomal RNA", at positions 355 to 766 of the family's 1533-position model. The record is from RNAcentral.